CAGUAGCCGCGGGAAUACAGAGGGUGCAAGCGUUAAUCGGAAUUACUGGGCGUAAAGCGCGCGUAGGUGGUUUGUUAAGUUGGAUGUUAAAGCCCCGGGCUCAACCUGGGAACUGCAUCCAAAACUGGCAAGCUAGAGUACGGUAGAGGGUGGUGGAAUUUCCUGUGUAGCGGUGAAAUGCGUAGAUAUAGGAAGGAACACCAGUGGCUAAGGCGACCACCUGGACUGAUACUGACACUGAGGUGCGAAAGCGUGGGGAGCAAACAGGAUUAGAUACCCCAGUAGUCCCUGUCUCUUAUAC
This 301-nucleotide ribosomal RNA is filed under the name uncultured bacterium. Its description in RNAcentral is "partial 16S ribosomal RNA". It matches the Rfam family "Bacterial small subunit ribosomal RNA", at positions 509 to 807 of the family's 1533-position model. The record is from RNAcentral.